This 418-nucleotide long non-coding RNA is filed under the name Catharus ustulatus (Swainson's thrush). RNAcentral's name for it is "lncRNA (ENSCUSG00005000610.1)". The record is from RNAcentral. Lineage: Eukaryota; Metazoa; Chordata; Aves; Passeriformes; Turdidae.
CCUAAACCAAUCUGCUUUGUUUCUGUGGUCAUAGAAGAUCCCCAAGCUUCACUGGAAUUGCCAAAGGAACUUAGUGAGCUUCAGCAAAUAUCAGAUGCUUUUUGCUUGGCAGCUGGCCUCAUCCCAACCAAGUCAGGAGAAAAAAUUCAUGAUGAUUUCAGCUGGCCAAAAGGUCAGGAGGCUGAGGAUGGAUAUCUGGAUCCUGCAGCACUCUGGGGAGAGCAGGGAGCAGCAGCCUCUCCAAGAAGCCUCUAAAGUACCACAUUCCCAUCUCUUGAAACCACUACUGCAAUUAUCCUGCCUGCCAGCAUCCUUGGAGGUAGAUACCAAAGGCACAGGAAUAAAUUACAGAUCUAGGCCUUCCCCUUUGCUCUGUCUUUAUGAACUGGUUGAUAGCAAGAAAUCACCUCCUGAGUAA